GCUGGGUGUGGUGGCAUGUGCCUGUAAUCCUAGUAACUUGGGAGGCUGAGGCAGGAGGAUCGCUUGAGCCCAGAAGUUGGAGGCUGCAGUGAGCUAUGAUCAUGCUAUUGCACUCCCAUCUGGGCAACAAAGCAAGAUCCUGUCUCAA
Molecule: unclassified non-coding RNA, 148 nt
Organism: Papio anubis (olive baboon)
Lineage: Eukaryota; Metazoa; Chordata; Mammalia; Primates; Cercopithecidae
Rfam family: Metazoan signal recognition particle RNA
About the family: The signal recognition particle (SRP) is a universally conserved ribonucleoprotein. It is involved in the co-translational targeting of proteins to membranes.
Source: Ensembl